Molecule: transfer RNA, 72 nt
Filed under: Bos taurus (domestic cattle)
Lineage: Eukaryota; Metazoa; Chordata; Mammalia; Artiodactyla; Bovidae
Also listed under: 2 other names
Rfam family: tRNA
About the family: Transfer RNA (tRNA) molecules are approximately 80 nucleotides in length. Their secondary structure includes four short double-helical elements and three loops (D, anti-codon, and T loops). Further hydrogen bonds mediate the characteristic L-shaped molecular structure. tRNAs have two regions of fundamental functional importance: the anti-codon, which is responsible for specific mRNA codon recognition, and the 3' end, to which the tRNAs corresponding amino acid is attached (by aminoacyl-tRNA synthetases). tRNAs cope with the degeneracy of the genetic code in two manners: having more than one tRNA (with a specific anti-codon) for a particular amino acid; and 'wobble' base-pairing, i.e. permitting non-standard base-pairing at the 3rd anti-codon position.
Source: Rfam by way of RNAcentral
UCCCUGCUGGCUUAGAUGGUAAAGAAUCUGUCUGCAAUACAGGAGAUCCGGGUUCAAACCCUGGGUCGGAAA